Molecule: ribosomal RNA, 292 nt
Filed under: uncultured bacterium
Lineage: Bacteria
Description: partial 16S ribosomal RNA
Rfam family: Bacterial small subunit ribosomal RNA
Source: RNAcentral
GUGCCAGCCGCCGCGGUAAUACGUAGGGAGCUAGCGUUGUCCGGAAUCAUUGGGCGUAAAGCGCGCGUAGGCGGCCCGGUAAGUCCGCUGUGAAAGUCAAAGGCUCAACCUUUGAAUGUCAGCGGAUACUGCCGGGCUAGAGUCCGGAAGAGGCGAGUGGAACUCCUGGUGUAGCGGUGGAAUGCGCAGAUAUCAGGAAGAACACCAACGGCGAAGGCAGCUCGCUGGGACGGAACUGACGCUAAGGCGCGAAAGCGUGGGGAGCGAACAGGAUUAGAAACCCGUGUAGUCC